CAAGAUUCCACAGACUUUAGCUGAGUCAGGAUUCUAAGGCAGUUGGAAACCUCUCUCUCUCAAGCUAGUCAGACUUGAAGGUGUGCCUAAUAUCUCCCUGAAGAACCAAUUGAGAAACUGCCAAGGAUUUUGGUUGAGUGAGUGUUCCCCUUCACAGUGGUGGACAUUGUAAAUGGUGAGAACAUUCUCCCUUUUUGGACAUUGUGAGGACACUACAACUUGAUCCUGCUGUCUGAACCAGCCAUCUGGAGUUUGAAAUUAUAAAUGAAACAUUGAUAGAGAGGCAGAGUCAAGACACAACAAAAGUCCAGGCCUUUGAAAGCCUUUCCAAACCAAUCAAAAGCACAAUGCUUUGAGGGGACAGAAAACCAAAUCCAACAACAGGACAGAGCUAGAGAACCCUCCUGUUGGACUCAACUUAAAAGGUAAUGAACAAAGAUCAAAUGGAACAGAGGAGGACCGAGGAAAAAUAAGCAAAAAUACAGAGACUCCAGCAAAUUGGACACAGGCUUUUAAAAACCCAAAAUACAAUUCAAAAAACAAUUAAGAGAGGUUGAAAACAACUGGGAAAAGAACAUAAAAAACAAAAUAAGCCAUCUUAAAACAGAAAAUAAUGUCUUGAAAGCCAAAAUUAACCAGCUUGAAAAUGAGGCAAAGGAGAUGAAAGAUUAGGCAAAAAAAGAUGAAAAAUAAGACAAAGAAGAUGAAAGAUGACUUGCAAAGAAAAUCAGACCAGAGGGAGAAGGAUGACCAAAAAGCCAGGGAUGAAAUUCAGUCUUUAAAAACUAGAAUCCAACAACUAGAUGCAAAUGACUUCACAAGGCAGCAGGAAGCUAUAACACAAAAUCAAUAUAAUGAAAAAAUUGAGUAAAACAUGAAACACAUCUUUGACAAAAACAAAGACCUUGAAAGCAGAUUCAGAAGAGACAAUUUAAGAAUUAUAGGACUACCAAAAGAUCAUGACAAAAGAAAAAGCCUAGGCAUCAUUCCACAGGAAAUUAUCCAAGAAAACUGCCCCAACAUUCUAGAGCAAGAGAGAAACUUGGCAAUUUAAAGAAUUCACAGAUCACCUCAUGUACUUACUCCUCGAUUGACAAUGCCCAGGAAAGAUACAGGGAAACUCAAGAACUACUAGACCAAGGGAAAAAAAUAUUACAAGUUGCUAAUAAGGAAUCAUUCAGAUUCCAUGGAACCACAGUUAGGAUAACACAGGAUCUGCUUGCAUCUACACUGAAGGACUGAAAGGCAUGGAAUAUGAUAUUCCAGAAAGCAAGGGAACUGCCUCUAAAACCAAGAAUCAACAACCCUGCAAAACUGACUAUAUUCUUGCAGAAGAAAGUAUGGUCAUUUAAUAAAAUAGAAGACUUUCAAGCAUUCAUAAAGAAAAGACCAGACUUCAACAGAAAAUUUAAUGCCCAAACACAGAACUCAAGAGAAUCACCAAAAGGUAAUUAAAAAAGGGGAAACAAACAAACAAAAAAAACCCUUUUAAAGGGACUCAAUAAGUUAAAAUGAUUGGUAUUCCUAUAAAAAAAAGGUGAUAUUGGUAAUGCUUAAAAAUUGUAAUUAUCACCUGGCUAUCUAGAAGAAUUCUACUUAGAGGGAACAGUGACUCACUGAUUGGGAUAAAAUAGGUGUAU
Monodelphis domestica (gray short-tailed opossum) is the source of this 1640-nucleotide non-coding RNA. NCBI's taxonomy places the organism in Eukaryota, Metazoa, Chordata, Mammalia, Didelphimorphia, Didelphidae. The record is from RefSeq and is a predicted model, not a curated record.